UACGGAGGGUGCGAGCGUUGUCCGGAAUCACUGGGCGUAAAGGGCGCGUAGGCGGCCUGAUAAGUCGGGGGUGAAAUCUUGCGGCUUAACCGCAAGGCUGCCUUCUAAACUGUCAGGCUCGAGCACAGUAGAGGCAGGUGGAAUUCCCGGUGUAGCGGUGGAAUGCGUAGAGAUCGGGAAGAACAUCAGUGGCGAAGGCGGCCUGCUGGGCUGUUGCUGACGCUGAGGCGCGACAGCGUGGGGAGCAAACAGG
Molecule: ribosomal RNA, 253 nt
Filed under: uncultured bacterium
Lineage: Bacteria
Description: partial 16S ribosomal RNA
Rfam family: Bacterial small subunit ribosomal RNA
Source: RNAcentral